This 524-nucleotide long non-coding RNA is filed under the name Oncorhynchus kisutch (coho salmon). Its description in RNAcentral is "lncRNA (ENSOKIG00005036579.1)". The record is from RNAcentral. Lineage: Eukaryota; Metazoa; Chordata; Actinopteri; Salmoniformes; Salmonidae.
AAAUGAUCAAUGACUAGGCUCUGUGUGAGCUGGACUCCUCAUCUAGCUGGAGAAGAGAGAGUAUGUCAGAGGCUGAGCUGAGCUCUCAAGAUGAAACCAACACUGCUGAGAUGAUUGACCUGAUGUUUAAGGACAUGCUGGAGGCUUCUGCCCAGGGAAGGGAGAAGGAGGGCAAUGAGGAUUAUGACAGUGCCAUAGCCACAGUGAUGCGCAGAAAGGAGAAAACAGAGUUGGACAAGGAGAAAGCUGAGGAGGGUGAAGACCUGGAAGAGAUCAGGGAACUGGACUCCAGUGUAGAUGAGCUGCUGACCCUCCCACCCAGCUGCAUCCUCUCUCCUCUCAGCAGGUCUGUGGAAGCUGUGGUCACUCCAAUGGUAAGGCUCUGCAGACAGACAAAGGUUGCCAGGGUCACCUUGUUCAAUGUGAUUCUGAAAGUGUUGCCCUGCAGUUUUAAAGCUUGGAGUGUUUACACUUCCAAAUUGACAUCUAAGUGUUUUAAUAUCCCUGCAGAGACUUGCAGCUAG